This 639-nucleotide ribosomal RNA is filed under the name Triticum aestivum (bread wheat). RNAcentral describes it as "partial small subunit ribosomal RNA". The record is from RNAcentral. Lineage: Eukaryota; Viridiplantae; Streptophyta; Magnoliopsida; Poales; Poaceae.
AUGCCUAGGGCGUUCAUGACAUUGAUGGCUAUGGCUGCUUCGUGUUCAAGAAAGAUCCCAGCUCCGCUGGGCCAGGCGUAUUCAAUUGGAGGCAGAAUUAAUCAAUGCAACUCCAAGAAGGAUUGCCCGGUGCUGCCGGCUGGCGUCAAGUUCGAUCCCACAGAUCAGGAGCUGAUCGAGCACCUUGAGGCCAAAGUGAGUGCUGAUAGCGCGAGAUCUCACCCUCUCAUCAAUUUGUUCAUACCAACCAUCGACAGCGAGCAGGGCAUAUGCUACACCCAUCCUGAGAAACUUCCAGGUAUCACACUGGGUGGCCUAAGCAAGCAUUUCUUCCAGCACAACUCCAGGGCAUUCAAAAGGGGCACGUGGACGCGUCGCAAGAUACAGUCGGAGUGCGGCAUGCACGCGAUGUGGCACAAGACUGGCAAUACCUUGCCGGUGAUGGUCAAUGGCUGGCAGACAGGCAGCAAAAAGAGGACCAACUGGGUGAUGCACCAGUACCACCUCGGGGACCUGGAGCAAGAGAAGGAGCGGGAGCUGGUCUUCUGCAAGAUUUUCUACCGGACGAACACUAGGGCCAGGACUAAAAAGAUUAUAGGUCGAGCAAGUUUCAACUGGGUUGUAGACUGCCCAGGCUAG